CUAUUAAGACAACUGAUUAAAAUUAUUGCUUACAAAUGCCCAGCAUAUACCACGCUGCAUGCUAUGUAGUGUGAUUUUUUCCAUCUACAUCUUUGUUUUUAGGAUUUUGUUUGUUUGUUUGUUUGUUUUUUGAGACAGGGUUUCUCUGUGUAUAGCUUUGGAGCCUAUCCUGGCACUCGCUCUGGAGACCAGGCUGGCCUCCAACUCAUGGAGAUCCGCCUGCUUCUGGCAUCUGAGUGCUGGGAUUAAAGGCGUGUGCCACCAAUGCCCAGUUAAGAUUUUUAUUUUUUUAAUUUUAUGUGUAUAAAUGUUUGCUACAUGCUUGUGUCUAUACCACCUUGAGUACCUGGUGCCUCUAAAGCCAGAAGGUGUUGGAUCACCUGGGACUAAAGUUACUUGGUUGUAAGCCACCAUGUGGGUGCUGGGAAUUAACAUGGGUUCCCAGGAAGAGCAGCCAGUACUCUUAACGGAUGAGUCCUCUCUCCAGCCUCUUAUUUAAUGAUUUUUAAAAAGAUUGUGUGUGUGUGUGUGUGUGUGUGUGUGUGUACACGCGCGCGCCAGCACUCACACACCCACUUCUUUUGUUAGACCCCCGAAAACUCAAGUAUCCGGGGUCCCAGGCCACGUUCGAGGUCACCCCAAUCACCAGGCGGAUUCAAGAGCUUGCUGCAAACUGCAUAAGGCUUUAUUGUAAUUUAACGAGCUAACCCCAUGUUAGCUCGGGUCUUUCACACAUCCGCCAUGGCGGAUGGCUCCCAAAAGACAGUUUGAAGCCGCUGUGCACAGAUCUUUAUAGGGCAGCAUAAGGGGAGUGUCUAGGGGUACGCACAAGCUCACGAUUGGUGUGCCUCCAGGCUUGGAGGGCUUGCCCUGUGUUGAUUGGUCAACUGGUUGUUAUGGCCCAUAGGCCCUCCCAGGGUGGUUGCUAUGCUCUCUGCGUCAUUGCUGUGCGCUUGUCCGUAAAGCACACCCAGGGUCGUAAAGCAUAGCAUCACCAGCUAACUUCUGAUUGGCUCCUUGUCACGAGACAGGCAUCUGACUUUCUAGUGUCUGGGACAAGGUCAUAGAAGCACGUGUUCGGCCGUUAUGGCUGCCAAAAGGAAAGCUGGUUCCUUCACUUUGAGUGUAUCUGCUGAGGUGUUUCAGGCAGCUUCCAUUAGCUUUCCAUAGUAUAACUGCAUGCAAAGUACACAUGUGUGUUCAGAACCAUGGCUGUGGUGAAGUCCUUCGGUACUACACAGGAUCUUAUGUAACCCAAGACAGCCUGGAACUAUCUAUAGAGCCAUGGAUGACCUUGAAUUCCUGAUCCGCCUGCCCCUACCUCCCAAGUUCUGAGGUGACAGCAUUUCUAUGCCUGGUUCCAGAUUUUUUGUAAUAU
Molecule: long non-coding RNA, 1378 nt
Filed under: Cricetulus griseus (Chinese hamster)
Lineage: Eukaryota; Metazoa; Chordata; Mammalia; Rodentia; Cricetidae
Description: lncRNA (ENSCGRG00015041294.1)
Source: RNAcentral